GUCCUUAGGGACAACUUCUGACAAUUUGAC
RNAcentral lists this ribosomal RNA (30 nucleotides) under Lyophyllum chilense. Its description in RNAcentral is "Fibulochlamys chilensis partial 28S ribosomal RNA". Lineage: Eukaryota; Fungi; Basidiomycota; Agaricomycetes; Agaricales; Lyophyllaceae. The record is from RNAcentral.